UACGGAGGGUGCGAGCGUUGUCCGGAAUCACUGGGCGUAAAGGGCGCGUAGGCGGCGCGGAUAGUCGGCGGUGAAAGCCCGGAGCUCAACUCCGGGUCGGCCGUCGAUACUUCCGGGCUUGAGCACUGUAGAGGCAGAUGGAAUUCCGGGUGUAGCGGUGGAAUGCGUAGAGAUCCGGAAGAACACCGGUGGCGAAGGCGGUCUGCUGGGCAGUUGCCGACGUGAUGCGCGACAGCGUGGGGAGCAAACGAGG
This 253-nucleotide ribosomal RNA is filed under the name uncultured bacterium. RNAcentral's name for it is "partial 16S ribosomal RNA". It matches the Rfam family "Bacterial small subunit ribosomal RNA", at positions 524 to 777 of the family's 1533-position model. The record is from RNAcentral.